Molecule: long non-coding RNA, 1324 nt
Filed under: Helianthus annuus (common sunflower)
Lineage: Eukaryota; Viridiplantae; Streptophyta; Magnoliopsida; Asterales; Asteraceae
Source: RNAcentral
GCCAAGAAUAAUAUCUCCGAACAUUCACCACAGCCAUUGACGUGCAACAAAACGCCAAUAAUAUUCUCUCCGAACACCCACCACGGCCAUUUGCAUCCACCGGAAACCGCAAACAACAAUCCGCCGCAAUCUUAUUCGCCUUCAUAUUCCUCUUUUACCGUUCAUUAAUUCAUUCUGUCCGUCCCUUAUUUGGCAAAUUAUUUCAUUGUUUUCAUCUGUAUUUUAUAUUCGGCCCUUUAAAUUCAUUUAAACCUUCUAGAAGGGGAGGUUGAGGACGGUUCCAAGAGGUUACAGCAGUUCCACUAUUAUAACCCCACUACCGUGAUACAAGAAACUACCAUUAGAGUGUUCUACAGAAUCAGAAGAGGAAUAGCAAGACCGAGAGUAUCGCGUAUAUGUGCAUCAAUCGAUGGUACGAGCUCGGUUGAUUAUUUAGGCCUUGAUCUGAUCCUUCCAAGUUCUGAAGCAAAUUAAUCAAAAUUGCAAACAACGCUCAUUCUGGCUCAGUUACAAGCAUUGUUAUGCACAAUUGGGGGCAAUUGCUUUGGCAAUUCUUCACAUUUACAGGCAUCUUCUGAAUUACACGGAACCGACAUCUAUACGAGCCCUUUAUCAUAAGAUGUAUUUUUUAUGGUUCGGUAUCACAAUCCAGAUUAUGUGGUUGAGGUGAAUCCUGAGGUUGUUGGAGAUAUAAAAAAAUUGGCUUAAGAUUUGUGGGAAAAGAUGAAAGUGCUUGACAAUGGAGAACUUCCAAGCUAUCCAUUCUAUGUGGGAGUACAGUUCAUCCUGAAUAUAAAUCGCGACCUGGGAAGUGUUCGACCCUAUUUAUUGGUUAUGUGGUUUCAAGACGAAGAUGCCAUCAUGUGUUGUAUCCACGGUACUACGGCAAAAGAUUAGUUCAUGGUGCAACAUUCCCCAACUAUUUGGUUUCAAUGUUAGGGAUCUACAUCUACUACAAAUUCACAGCACUUUAAAGCUUAAAUGUAUCAGAACACAAAAAGAGAUUGAUUAGAGUGGUGAUUUUAGCCACAUGUAGGAUGAUUUGGAAGGAACAAAAUGAAGUUAAUUUUGCCGGAAAACGGGUCAACAUCAACAGGAUUUUGGAGAAGUUCAAGCAAUGACAUACCUUUGGGUCAAGAAUAGAGCAAGGCGAAACGACAUAGAGUUGGCUAAUUGGGUGGCGUUUAAUAUUUCGACAAUGUGAAUGUAAUUUGGUCUUACCCUGUAGGUUUGCUGGGUGAUGUAAUGUAUUUGUCGAUCUAGCAACUUGCUAGUGACAAUACUCUGUACAUAUUUGGUGAUAUGAAAUGAAUGUUGUUUGCCA